UAGGGAAUCUUCCACAAUGGACGAAAGUCUGAUGGAGCAACGGCCGCGUGAGUGAAGAAGGUUUUCGGAUCGUAAAGCUCUGUUGUUGGUGAAGAAGGAUAGAGGCAGUAACUGGCCUUUAUUUGACGGUAAUCAACCAGAAAGUCACGGCUAACUACGUGCCAGCAGCCGCGGUAAUACGUAGGUGGCAAGCGUUGUCCGGAUUUAUUGGGCGUAAAGCGAGCGCAGGCGGAAUGAUAAGUCUGAUGUGAAAGCCCACGGCUCAACCGUGGAACUGCAUCGGAAACUGUCAUUCUUGAGUGCAGAAGAGGAGAGUGGAACUCCAUGUGUAGCGGUGGAAUGCGUAGAUAUAUGGAAGAACACCAGUGGCGAAGGCGGCUCUCUGGUCUGCAACUGACGCUGAGGCUCGAAAGCAUGGGUAGCGAACAGGAUUAGAUACCUGGUAGUCCAUGCCGUAAAACGAUGAGCGCUAGGUGUUGGGGACUUUCCGGUCCUCAGUGCCGCAGCAAACGCAUUAAGCGCUCCGCCUGGGGAGUACGACCGCAAGGUUGAAAC
This 555-nucleotide ribosomal RNA is filed under the name uncultured bacterium. RNAcentral's name for it is "partial 16S ribosomal RNA". It matches the Rfam family "Bacterial small subunit ribosomal RNA", at positions 355 to 900 of the family's 1533-position model. The record is from RNAcentral.